This 379-nucleotide long non-coding RNA is filed under the name Linum usitatissimum (flax). Its description in RNAcentral is "long non-coding RNA (LUSI_LNC001357)". The record is from RNAcentral. Lineage: Eukaryota; Viridiplantae; Streptophyta; Magnoliopsida; Malpighiales; Linaceae.
UUUCUGAUACCCAUUGUUGAGUGAAAUCUCCAACAGAGGCGGCAUCGGUGGAAUUUGGACUUCAAAUGGUGGGGAGGCAUUGUAAUGCUAAGGUGAUGGUGGAGAUGGUUUGCAGCAGCUAGAGGAGAAUCAUACAGAGAUUGGAAUUUUUUAUCGGAGUAUUCGUAAUUUGUUGGCUAAGUUUGAUUCAAGUUCGUAGAGACAUGUUAGAAGGGAAGCAAACAAAGCAGCUCAAAUUAUUAUUUAUAAAAAUGUUAAUUGGGAUGCUCCUAUAAUUUGGUGGAUAGACCAUAAAUGUUUGAUGAUGUAAUGCCUAUUGGAGAAAAAAGAAAAAAAAGAUUUUAAAAUAAAAUUUAAUAAUUAUAUUUUUUAUAAAUUA